Molecule: ribosomal RNA, 1343 nt
Filed under: uncultured bacterium
Lineage: Bacteria
Description: 16S ribosomal RNA
Rfam family: Bacterial small subunit ribosomal RNA
Source: RNAcentral
GACGAACGCUUUCGGCGUGCUUAACACAUGCAAGUCGAACGGAAAGGCCCUGCUUUUGUGGGGUGCUCGAGUGGCGAACGGGUGAGUAACACGUGAGUAACCUGCCCUUGACUUUGGGAUAACUUCAGGAAACUGGGGCUAAUACCGGAUAGGAGCUCCUGCUGCAUGGUGGGGGUUGGAAAGUUUCGGCGGUUGGGGAUGGACUCGCGGCUUAUCAGCUUGUUGGUGGGGUAGUGGCUUACCAAGGCUUUGACGGGUAGCCGGCCUGAGAGGGUGACCGGCCACAUUGGGACUGAGAUACGGCCCAGACUCCUACGGGAGGCAGCAGUGGGGAAUAUUGCACAAUGGGCGGGAGCCUGAUGCAGCAACGCCGCGUGCGGGAUGACGGCCUUCGGGUUGUAAACCGCUUUCGCCUGUGACGAAGCGUGAGUGACGGUAAUGGGUAAAGAAGCACCGGCUAACUACGUGCCAGCAGCCGCGGUGAUACGUAGGGUGCGAGCGUUGUCCGGAUUUAUUGGGCGUAAAGGGCUCGUAGGUGGUUGAUCGCGUCGGAAGUGUAAUCUUGGGGCUUAACCCUGAGCGUGCUUUCGAUACGGGUUGACUUGAGGAAGGUAGGGGAGAAUGGAAUUCCUGGUGGAGCGGUGGAAUGCGCAGAUAUCAGGAGGAACACCAGUGGCGAAGGCGGUUCUCUGGGCCUUUCCUGACGCUGAGGAGCGAAAGCGUGGGGAGCGAACAGGCUUAGAUACCCUGGUAGUCCACGCUGUAAACGGUGGGUACUAGGUGUGGGGUCCAUUCCACGGGUUCCGUGCCGUAGCUAACGCUUUAAGUACCCCGCCUGGGGAGUACGGCCGCAAGGCUAAAACUCAAAGGAAUUGACGGGGCCCCGCACAAGCGGCGGAGCAUGCGGAUUAAUUCGAUGCAACGCGUAGAACCUUACCUGGGUUUGACAUGGAUCGGGAGCGCUCAGAGAUGGGUGUGCCUCUUUUGGGGUCGGUUCACAGGUGGUGCAUGGCUGUCGUCAGCUCGUGUCGUGAGAUGUUGGGUUAAGUCCCGCAACGAGCGCAACCCUUGUUCACUGUUGCCAGCACGUUAUGGUGGGGACUCAGUGGAGACCGCCGGGGUCAACUCGGAGGAAGGUGGGGAUGACGUCAAGUCAUCAUGCCCCUUAUGUCCAGGGCUUCACGCAUGCUACAAUGGCUGGUACAGAGAGUGGCGAGCCUGUGAGGGUGAGCGAAUCUCGGAAAGCCGGUCUCAGUUCGGAUUGGGGUCUGCAACUCGACCUCAUGAAGUCGGAGUCGCUAGUAAUCGCAAAUCAGCAACGCUGCGGUGAAUACGUUCCCGGG